Molecule: ribosomal RNA, 468 nt
Filed under: uncultured bacterium
Lineage: Bacteria
Description: partial 16S ribosomal RNA
Rfam family: Bacterial small subunit ribosomal RNA
Source: RNAcentral
GACGAACGCUGGCGGCGUGCUUAACACAUGCAAGUCGAACGGAAAGGCCCUGCUAUUGUGGGGUGCUCGAGUGGCGAACGGGUGCGUAACACGUGAGUAACCUGCCCUUGACUUUGGGAUAACUUCAGGAAACUGGGGCUAAUACCGGAUAGGAGCUCCUGCUGCAUGGUGGGGGUUGGAAAGUUUCGGCGGUUGGGGAUGGACUCGCGGCUUAUCAGCUUGUUGGUGGGGUAGUGGCUUACCAAGGCUUUGACGGGUAGCCGGCCUGGGAGGGUGACCGGCCACAUUGGGACUGAGAUACGGCCCAGACUCGUACGGGGGGCAGCAGUGGGGAAUAUUGCACAAUGGGCGGAAGCCUGAUGCAGCAACGCCGCGUGCGGGAUGACGGCCUUCGGGUUGUAAACCGCUUUCGCCUGUGACGAAGCGUUAGUGACGGUAAUGGGUAAAGAAGCACCGGCUAACUACGUG